UUCGUAACAAGUGGUCUUACCUUUUGCUUGCAGAUAUCGAAGUGGAUGUCGCAGUAUGGCACUGUUGCCGCACAGACGCUGUGCAUCAAUAGAUUUAACACUGCUGCGUAUGUUCUUGGAAGCGAAAGCCCGUGCCAGGUCUUCGAGUGUUCUUCCGUUAUACGAUCACAUUGUUUUAGUAGGUAUUGGACGUGUGCUUGAAACAAAUGGAUAUUAUCUGCCAGUUUAUGACGUGUAAUUCGUAUAAUUAAACGUAUUAAUUCAGUUAUUGAAUAUUUCCUGAAGUCUGCUCCUAAAGUUCACAUUUCCGCAGCAACCCUGAGACGUAUUUUAUAAAAAAUAUUACCUUAGAGUCGACGUAACGUAACGUGAUGAGCGUGUGUUCGGCGACGGCAGCGGCGUCGUCAUGUCCGGUGCGGCGGCAGUCUCGGAGCUCAAGCACGCGCGCCAGCACGGUCGAGCAGCACUUCUAUAUUGACAAAGGCGGAGUAAAGCCCGUCGAUCAGAGGAAGUACAGCACGAUUUCCACAUCACGACCCUCCUCUAGUUCCAGUUUGUGCUGCGUCAUUUCCGUUCUUCUCUCCUGUAUUAUGAUUGGUUGGAGCGAAUCGAGACAAGACUUUAUUGCUUGACACAGGACCAAUAGAAACGAAUGGUUUAAAAGUAUAUGCUCAUGCUCAGACAAUGUAACGGACAUACUUUUUCAUAAACCUGUGUUAGUUAGGUUCACGCAUUUUAACAGCAUUUUUUCUAUAAACGUACCACAACACUAUAUGUUACCCAGUGCACUUACUCUUGAAUGGCGUUUAUAUGCCCAGCAUUAACCCAUGGUGCAAAUAUGUCCCGGUGUGCAAAUAUACACAGGUGGACACAUUUCGGGUAUUUUUGGACGCGUUUAUAUGGCAAAUGUGAAAAAUGGAUAUCAUGAAAAUAAUGCAAACUGUUUGUGCUGAAAAGUGUGUUAAACAUAAUGGAAAAGCUAUUACUAAUAUAUGAAUGGAAUAUACUUGCUUGUACGCGAUAUUGUCUUGCAGUUCAUUUGUGAUACCAAUAAAGAAAUGUGUUAGUCUUUUGAAGCAAAUAUUGUCAAACUGUCAGAAAACAUUUAAAGGGUACGAGUUCGAUAUUCGCUAUUUAAUUCUAAAACAAAAUAAGAAUCAAGCAUGUGUUUAAAGUUGAUAACUACAAAGAAUCCGCUGAACAUGUGUGAGUAGGUGACCAAUACCUACACAAAUCAUCUAAACACGCAUUGCUUUGAUACAUAGUACCAAAAGUAAAUUGACAGGUUCAAUCUUCUCUGGGCAGCAUGCCUUCUAACCAAAUUACACUUCAUAAUGACCUGUUAAUAUCGUUCUGCUUCCGCGCAAUAUUAGGAUUAUUGAUUUAUGUUUAAACUUUGAACUUCUGGGAUUGUUUCUGAAGGUUUUCUUUUAAGUAUUAUAAUCAAUGGGACUGGAAAUUGCAGUCACUUCAACGUCCUGUCUCCUUUCACCCUUACAUACACUUUGAAUCGAAAACGGAGACACACGGCGGGGUCAAGUCAUUAUUUAGCCAGUGGGCGCGGGUUGACCAACACUAAACCAACCUCAACAAAUUUCAGAGGGUUCACUGGUUAGCUGUAGAAUCAUUGAGCCGGCUUGUUUACAACAUUUUAUAAUCUAAUAAAUACUCUCUACGACUGGUAAUUUCUCGAAAUUGUUUUUUUUUUCGUUUAUAUAUACAAUUCAUUCAAUUUUGCAUUUUUAUUUCAUAAUGUCUGUAGAAUUUGUUUAUUCGUGACGCUUGAAUAAAUGAACACAACUUU
Molecule: long non-coding RNA, 1804 nt
Organism: Mya arenaria
Lineage: Eukaryota; Metazoa; Mollusca; Bivalvia; Myida; Myidae
Exons: 2
Source: RefSeq, a predicted model, not a curated record